Molecule: ribosomal RNA, 253 nt
Filed under: uncultured bacterium
Lineage: Bacteria
Description: partial 16S ribosomal RNA
Rfam family: Bacterial small subunit ribosomal RNA
Source: RNAcentral
UACGUAGGGUGCGAGCGUUGUCCGGAAUUAUUGGGCGUAAAGAGCUCGUAGGCGGUCUGUCGCGUCUGCUGUGAAAUCCCGAGGCUCAACCUCGGGCUUGCAGUGGGUACGGGCAGGCUAGAGUGCGGUAGGGGAGAAUGGAACUCCUGGUGUAGCGGUGGAAUGCGCAGAUAUCAGGAAGAACACCGAUGGCGAAGGCAGUUCUCUGGGCCGUAACUGACGCUCAUGCACGAAAGCGUGGGGAGCAAACAGG